UACAACUUUCAACAACGGAUCUCUUGGCUCUCGCAUCGAUGAAGAACGCAGCGAAAUGCGAUAAGUAAUGUGAAUUGCAGAAUUCAGUGAUCAUCGAUCUUGACGCA
RNAcentral lists this ribosomal RNA (107 nucleotides) under Lactifluus volemus. RNAcentral's name for it is "Lactarius volemus partial 5.8S ribosomal RNA". It matches the Rfam family "5.8S ribosomal RNA", at positions 1 to 108 of the family's 154-position model. From Rfam's summary of the family: 5.8S ribosomal RNA (5.8S rRNA) is a component of the large subunit of the eukaryotic ribosome. It is transcribed by RNA polymerase I as part of the 45S precursor that also contains 18S and 28S rRNA. Functionally, it is thought that 5.8S rRNA may be involved in ribosome translocation. Lineage: Eukaryota; Fungi; Basidiomycota; Agaricomycetes; Russulales; Russulaceae. The record is from RNAcentral.